Molecule: transfer RNA, 77 nt
Filed under: Actinomycetes bacterium
Lineage: Bacteria; Bacillati; Actinomycetota; Actinomycetes
Also listed under: 4 other names
Description: tRNA-Arg
Rfam family: tRNA
About the family: Transfer RNA (tRNA) molecules are approximately 80 nucleotides in length. Their secondary structure includes four short double-helical elements and three loops (D, anti-codon, and T loops). Further hydrogen bonds mediate the characteristic L-shaped molecular structure. tRNAs have two regions of fundamental functional importance: the anti-codon, which is responsible for specific mRNA codon recognition, and the 3' end, to which the tRNAs corresponding amino acid is attached (by aminoacyl-tRNA synthetases). tRNAs cope with the degeneracy of the genetic code in two manners: having more than one tRNA (with a specific anti-codon) for a particular amino acid; and 'wobble' base-pairing, i.e. permitting non-standard base-pairing at the 3rd anti-codon position.
Source: RNAcentral
GCCCUCGUAGCUCAGUCGGAUAGAGCAACGGACUUCUAAUCCGCAGGUCGCAGGUUCGAUUCCUGCCGAGGGCGCCA